Molecule: long non-coding RNA, 1168 nt
Filed under: Oryza sativa Indica Group (long-grained rice)
Lineage: Eukaryota; Viridiplantae; Streptophyta; Magnoliopsida; Poales; Poaceae
Description: lncRNA OsKYG_03g0025710
Source: RNAcentral
CGUCUUCCACCAAGAACCCCAAGGAUUUGGAGUUCGAGGUCUCUCUCCCCGGCAAAGCGAGAGAGCAAGAUAGAGAGGCCAGAGCCCGACCUCAUCGCCUGCUGCCUGACUGCCGUCUGCCGGACUCCAAGAAAGCGGGGGUUGGCUUCUUGCGCGCGCGGGAGGGACAGGGUCUGUAGCGUCGUCCGGCAAAGGCGGGGGGAGGGCCCCGGCCUCGGCCGCUCAAGUCCGGCGACAUCCGUGGCCGCCGCCGACGCGGUCCUCUACCUCCUGGGGAGAGAGCCAGCAUUCAACUUCUACCAUGAGUCACACCUUGAUAUACAUGACAUCGAGAUAAAGAAGAUCCCGCAGGGUACCCUAAUCAGAGUAGUGCUCAAAGGCCUCGAACACAUCGAGUUUCAAGCCAAUGCUGAUGUUGCCGAUGAUGAAAACUUCCACCAUUUCAUUGCUCUAGACCUACUCACCAAAGAUGUAGGUGAGCUGAAAAUGCAAAUUACUGGCCGUGCAAACCCUGAUUUUGUUGAGACUGCCAAAGAGAAAAAGAAUGACGCUGUCAAGACUGUCGAACCGCAUGGGAGCGAUUAUGCUGAGGACGCCAUACCGCGUCGGAUGCAGCCAAACUCACCGAAGUGUCAAGUUCCGAUUCUGAUGAGAUCAGCAGAGCACAUAAGAAGCAGCUACUACAGAAGGCAAAGGCCACCGAAGUGCCAAAUACCACCGCAGUGCAUAGGGAGCAGCCUGUGCAGAGAGGGAGGGGGCAGAGGCGAGGGCGAGGGCGAGGAGGAGGAAGAGGAAAAGGGAGAAUCAGAGAAUGUAAGUUUGUCCAUGGGUAAGGAAUUGCAAAUAUCAUGAUGAGGAGUGCAGCUCAAUUUAGAGGUUGAGUAUGUGAAAGUAGAUUUUACAGGAUUUGCUAGAGCAAGUGAGUAACCUCAAUUGAUGGCUAUGGGAUUAACAUUUUUUGCUCUGCUUAAAUUUUGAUCGAUUUUAUCUGAUGUGGGUUAUAGAGUGUAUCUGAUGUGCUUGAGAAGAAUAGUUACUGCUUUUCCAUGGUAUACUUGGCAACUCAUGUGAAAGGGAUUUUGACAUGAACCACUGUGAUAUUAUUAAACAUUCUGCAUCUGUUAAAUUUGAAUGUAUGUUUAUGAUAGCUUUGCAAUUUCCCAGCUCC